This 85-nucleotide small RNA is filed under the name Salix viminalis (osier). The record is from RNAcentral. Lineage: Eukaryota; Viridiplantae; Streptophyta; Magnoliopsida; Malpighiales; Salicaceae.
AGGUCAAAGAAAGAUUCAUUCAUUUCACUUUUGUUCUUGCUUUUGUGGCAGUGAAGAAAAAGAUGCCGACCCAGACUGUUGAUCU